AAUGGCCGCAGUAUCUUGACUGUGCAAAGGUAGCAUAAUCAUUAGUUUCUUAAUUAGAAACUGGAAUGAAAGGUUGGACGAGAAAAUAACUGUCUCUUUAUAAAUUUUUUAGAAUUUUAUUUUUAAGUUAAAAAGCUUAAUUUUUUUUAAAAGACGAGAAGACCCUAUAGAGUUUUAUAAUUUUUUUAUUAAUAAUUUAUUUUGAAUUAUUUAAAUUUUAAUAUUAAUAUUAUUUAAUUGGGGUGAUUAAAAAAUUUAAAUAACUUUUUUUUAAUAAAAACAUAAAUUUAUGAAUUAUUGAUCCAUUAAUUAAUGAUUAUAAGAUUAAAUUACCUUAGGGAUAACAGCGUAAUUUCUUUUAAGAGUUCUAAUCGAUAAAGAAGUUUGCGACCUCGAUGUUGGAUUAAAAUUAAAGUUUGGUGUAGAAGCUAAAUUCUUAGGUCUGUUCGACCUUUAAAAUUUUACAUGAUCUGAGUUUAAACCGGUGUGAGCCAGGUUGGUUUCUAUCUUUAAAAUAUAUAAAUAUUUUAGUACGAAAGGACCAAGUAUUUUUAAUAAUUAUUUUAUAUGAAUUUUAAUAAUUUA
This 585-nucleotide ribosomal RNA is filed under the name Iotarphia australis. RNAcentral describes it as "partial large subunit ribosomal RNA". It matches the Rfam family "Bacterial large subunit ribosomal RNA", at positions 1926 to 2739 of the family's 2925-position model. Lineage: Eukaryota; Metazoa; Arthropoda; Insecta; Coleoptera; Staphylinidae. The record is from RNAcentral.